UUGCAGUUUCCCAAGAUCAUUCGUUGCAUCUCACAUGCCAAGCAGAUCUACUGAGCAGACCUGCUUCAGCUGGUAAGCACCUAGACCAACACAGAUUAAAAAUUCAUUUCAAUGUUUUUCAAGGAGAUCAAUGGUAAAAGAUAUUAAACUUGGAACACUUUUUACAGGCGAAGGGAGUCAAGGCAGCAGUGGCCCUUGGAGUUACCUGGAAGGUUUCACUCCAGUGAAGUCCAUUGGGUCAAUGUCAGCGUCACACUCGUACCUUCUAGUUCCUUCGCCAAGUAUGAGAUACCUCUCUCCUGCAACAUUACAGCUCCCGACAUGCCUCACAUCGGAGUCACCGCCGCUUGCCCAUCUACUGCACAGCAAAGGGACUGCGAUUCCUUUAGCGAUGGGCUAUGUCGUCUCGAAAGCCGUCCCACCUGUUAGGAGGGACUCUGCACAACUCACCAAGGAUGAACAGCCCUCUGUUCUCUCAGUCAGCAUCAUCG
Molecule: long non-coding RNA, 491 nt
Filed under: Zea mays
Lineage: Eukaryota; Viridiplantae; Streptophyta; Magnoliopsida; Poales; Poaceae
Description: long non-coding RNA (ZMAY_LNC005276)
Source: RNAcentral